GUGCAUUUGAAAAGCGGCUUCCGGCGGAGCCGAGGGUAGUCACGUGGUCUCUACCGGUUUCUUGGUCGUGCACUGAGGGCGCCGGGCUGAGCCUCCUGAAACAGCUCCCGGGGCUCCAGAAACCGCCCCCGGGGAAGGGAUGGGCGAUGGGGUUGAGGGAGGUGCUGCGCCUUGGCCUGUCGGCCGGGUCUGCACCAUUUCUGCAGGGUGUAAGCAUCGCAUGAAACCAUCCGCUUAAACCACGUUUUAUUUUUCCCUCCAGAUAAUGUGAUAUUUGCAGCCCCCAGCGACUGGACGAAGGCGCGCAAUCAUUUCUGCAUCCUCCUGAGAGUUGCAGGCGGUGGCACAGGUCUGAGAGGAAGUCCUAGGAGACUGUGUACGUGUCACAGGGAGACUGAUGAGACCAGAAAGCCUUCCGGGAGUGGAACCUUGAGCUGGAUGCUCUUGGAGGAGUCCAAGUUUGCUAGAAAGGCCAGAAGACAGCAGGAGCAAAGACCCAAGGCCUUAGAAAGUGUGGCGAUGUGGAGGAACUUAAGACCCUAAUAGCCUGAGCAAGCUGGGGUGUUAAGGUGGCAAGGUAGGGGAGGGCCAGACCCAGGGCCCCAGGGCUAUGUGAGGACCUUGGUCUUUGUCCUAAGAAUAUAAGGUGCCCUUAGAUUGUUUGUUUAGAGACAGGGUCUCUUGUAACCCCGGCUACCCUUGAACUCCUGUAGUUGAGGAUGGCCUUGAACCUAGCCUCCUGCCUCCACUUCCUGAGUGCUGGGAUUACUGGAAUGCUCCAUUAGUUUCAGAAGAUCACUGUGCACACAGUACAGUUCACACAAACUCUGGUGAUGGAAAUAGUCUGCUUGGAUGCAGAGCAGCCCCAUGCCUCAUUGUGGCUAUCAGACGUCUGCAGUGUGAGAGACU
RNAcentral lists this long non-coding RNA (909 nucleotides) under Nannospalax galili (Upper Galilee mountains blind mole rat). RNAcentral describes it as "lncRNA (ENSNGAG00000024481.1)". Lineage: Eukaryota; Metazoa; Chordata; Mammalia; Rodentia; Spalacidae. The record is from RNAcentral.